RNAcentral lists this ribosomal RNA (503 nucleotides) under uncultured Comamonadaceae bacterium. RNAcentral's name for it is "partial 16S ribosomal RNA". The record is from RNAcentral. Lineage: Bacteria; Pseudomonadati; Pseudomonadota; Betaproteobacteria; Burkholderiales; Comamonadaceae.
CACGUAGUUAGCCGGUGCUUAUUCUUACGGUACCGUCAUGACCUCUCUUUAUUAGAAAGAGGCUUUUCGUUCCGUACAAAAGCAGUUUACAACCCGAGGGCCUUCAUCCUGCACGCGGAAUGGCUGGAUCAGGCUUGCGCCCAUUGUCCAAAAUUCCCCACUGCUGCCUCCCGUAGGAGUCUGGGCCGUGUCUCAGUCCCAGUGUGGCUGGUCGUCCUCUCAGACCAGCUACAGAUCGCAGGCUUGGUGAGCCUUUACCCCACCAACUACCUAAUCUGCCAUCGGCCGCUCCAAUCGCGCGAGGCCUUACGGUCCCCCGCUUUCAUCCAUAGAUCGUAUGCGGUAUUAGCGUAGCUUUCGCUACGUUAUCCCCCACGACUGGGCACGUUCCGAUGUAUUACUCACCCGUUCGCCACUCGCCACCAGGGUUGCCCCGUGCUGCCGUUCGACUUGCAUGUGUAAAGCAUUCCGCCAGCGUUCAAUCUGAGCCAGGAUCAAACUCU